Molecule: long non-coding RNA, 730 nt
Organism: Anguilla anguilla (European eel)
Lineage: Eukaryota; Metazoa; Chordata; Actinopteri; Anguilliformes; Anguillidae
Exons: 2
Source: RefSeq, a predicted model, not a curated record
GCCACUCCCCCAUCCACGUUAUAAACGUCAGAACACUAAAGUCAAAUAGUCACACUCACCUGAAAGACACCUUCAUCUGAGGAUCACCUUUAGCUGACAUUCAUUUUACCCAGACGGACACCCUGAGCCCACCAGAGACCGGACACAUUCGGCAGGCGCAAUCAUGAAGGCCACCUUCUCUCUGCUCUUCCUGAUCCUUGCCAUCACUUGCACAGUGAUUUCACAGGACACACAAUACCAAAAAUUCACCACUCAGCAUUACAAAAAGGGCAUGGCGGUAAAAGACUGUAAUAAGAAGAUGGGUACUAUCAACAAAAGUUAUUAUAGCAAUCACUGCAAAGCGGUCAACAGUGUUAUUUCUACAUCUACCACAAACCUCAUAAACGCUGUCUGUGACAAGGCCGGGGAAGCCUACACCAUGCCGGAUGGCAGAGUUCUUCGCAGAUCGUCGCAACAAUUUCGUGUCAUCACCUGCACGCGCAAGGGGGGAUCAGACCGGCCCCCAUGCGAAUACACAGGAUCCAACAGCAUGAGAAACAUCGUCAUCGACUGCAAUGCGGACAAGUUACCUGUGCACUAUGAAGAGGGUCAUAUAUUGUAAGUGAAGAUACCUCUGAUAUAUGUGCAGUGAAAAUGAUAAGAGCUAUGCUAAAAUUAAUGCACUCAUCUAACUGGAGCUUAUAACCAGUUGAAACAAUAUGCUUCACGGCAAUAAAGGCUUUCACUGCAA